CCUACGGGAGGCAGCAGUAGGGAAUCUUCCACAAUGGGCGAAAGCCUGAUGGAGCAACGCCGCGUGGGUGAAGAAGGUCUUCGGAUCGUAAAACCCUGUUGUUAGAGAAGAAAGUGCGUGAGAGUAACUGUUCACGUGUCGACGGUAUCUAACCAGAAAGCCACGGCUAACUACGUGCCAGCAGCCGCGGUAAUACGUAGGUGGCAAGCGUUAUCCGGAUUUAUUGGGCGUAAAGGGAACGCAGGCGGUCUUUUAAGUCUGAUGUGAAAGCCUUCGGCUUAACCGGAGUAGUGCAUUGGAAACUGGGAGACUUGAGUGCAGAAGAGGAGAGUGAAACUCCAUGUGUAGCGGUGAAAUGCGUAGAUAUAUGGAAGAACACCAGUGGCGAAAGCGGCUCUCUGGUCUGUAACUGACGCUGAGGUUCGAAAGCGUGGGUAGCAAACAGGAUUAGAUACCCGAGUAGUC
RNAcentral lists this ribosomal RNA (465 nucleotides) under uncultured bacterium. RNAcentral's name for it is "partial 16S ribosomal RNA". It matches the Rfam family "Bacterial small subunit ribosomal RNA", at positions 338 to 795 of the family's 1533-position model. The record is from RNAcentral.